CAUCCGCUCCCUUUAACUAGAAGCUGCGUCAUACACACGGAGCAUUUGGGAGACCACGAUGUCGUCUUCCUUCUGUCAGGAGGAUCCAAGUGAAGCUACAGGAGUAUGAUGAAGAGCAAGAAGGGCAGCCUGGAGAGAAAGAGGAGCCGGGUUGAGCCCACUACUCUCAUCCACGUACCACGAGGAAGAUGAGGGAGAGAAAUUAUCCUACCAUUAAAGAGACUGUGCAAAGAAUGUUGAGAACAUCACCACUCUACAGGAAUACACAGUCCAGUAAUGUGUGUCAGAAGUUCAGUAGUGAACGACAGGUACUGUGGAAAAAUGUGUGUCAUUGUUGUACAAUGUCCUUUGACUCUGUUUACACAAGGUCAACACAAAAAGGUUUGAUUGUAAACUGAUAUUGGUAUGAAUUCAUGUUAUACUCCUCUUCACAAGAAACAAACAAUUUACAAAAAAAAAACACUAGAAUUACCGCACUGCGUUGUAUGACUCCGCUAACCAGUGCAGUGUCCGUCUACAUAUUUCUACAUAUUUUCUCUCAUAUAAAUGUCACUGUAACCUCUUGACAACUGAAACCAUAACAUGAGGUCAGUGUGGCCUUGACCUUUUGACUUUAAGACAAAUACACAGUUAGACAACCCGAAAACAUGCAGUAAUGCCUCCGGCGACUCGCUAUUACAGAGGCAUUAAAAUGUUAAGUGUAGUAGACUGGAUUUUAUUGGUGUUACAUUGGACAUCUUGUAUUGGUACACAAAAAAUAUAUUUGGUUUCACAUUUUAGAUGGCAUAAGCAGAGACAUCAACUCAGGAAAUGGAUUUCUGCAGAAAAUUAAGCCUUGUAUGUGUGUAUAUAUGGGACAUGAGGGCCUUGUCUGCGUGCCCAAGAGAAGAUUCCACAGAGUUCAAGCUGAGCAGGCUGCAGCAGGUUUGGAGGAAUCCUCCUCUGAAGAGGAAACAUGGCGAGGUUCUUCUCCACUGAUGAAGAAAUAUCUUCUCAAGAGAAGCUGCCUCAGCUCCACGGUCCCUCCUGCAGCCUCCACUCCUGAUGCUAACCCCCGGUCUCCAUCACACCAUCCGGGCAGACCUGGAGUCACAGAACUUUGUCCAGAGCUGCCGUCUGAGAAUUGUUGAUCAUAUAAUUUUCAGCAGAUGCCUUAAUGUAAUGUUUGUGCACAAUAAAUGACAUUGAUCAUAA
Molecule: long non-coding RNA, 1194 nt
Organism: Limanda limanda (common dab)
Lineage: Eukaryota; Metazoa; Chordata; Actinopteri; Pleuronectiformes; Pleuronectidae
Exons: 4
Source: RefSeq, a predicted model, not a curated record